GUAAUGCAGAAUGAGUCUAGUUGGGGAACCCAGACACGGUCCCCCAAGGGGCAGGUGGGAUGGAGCUCCCGACUGGGGUCCAAAGGCCUAAUGUGGGGCAGGCCUCUGUCCUUGACUGCACUAUUAUGGGUGUUAGGAAUACAGCCGUUUGGAAAGAGACAAAAACGCUGGCCCUCGUGGAGCUUGCAUUCUAUUGGGAUCAUACAGCACAAAAACAUGAGUAAACUGAUGUGCUGUGCACCAGCUAACUAACUUACUCAAGGUCGCCGGAGCCAGGAGGGAAAACGCCAGUACUCGUGCCCAGGUCUGUCUGGCUCCAGAGCUCCUGCCCAUAACCCCCAGCUGUGCCUUAUUCCGCAGCAGUGUCAGUGACAGCGGUAGCCACUGACAUCACAAAGGUAGCCAAAGCCGAGCAAAGACCCCAUCUGCACAGUCCCCGAAACAAACAUGGUUCCCCACAACAUGAAGUGGAAAGACGAG
RNAcentral lists this long non-coding RNA (480 nucleotides) under Equus caballus (horse). Its description in RNAcentral is "lncRNA (ENSECAG00000060306.1)". The record is from RNAcentral. Lineage: Eukaryota; Metazoa; Chordata; Mammalia; Perissodactyla; Equidae.